GGAUGAACGCUGGCGGCGUGCUUGAUACAUGCAAGUCGAACGGAGAGUGUAGCAAUAUACUUUUAGUGGCGAACGGGUGAGUAACGCGUUGGUGACCUGCCCCGAAGCGAGGGAUAACAGUUCGAAAGAACUGCUAAUACCUCAUGUGAUCACCGGUUUUAGAAUCUGGUGAUUAAAGGUGAAAAUCACUUCGGGAGGGGCCUGCGUCCCAUCAGCUAGUUGGUAAGGUAAUGGCUUACCAAGGCGAUGACGGGUAGGGGACCUGAGAGGGUGGCCCCCCACAAUGGAACUGAAACACGGUCCAUACACCUACGGGUGGCAGCAGUAGGGAAUAUUGCAAAUGGGCGAAAGCCUGAUGUAGCAACGCCGCGUGUGCGAUGAAGGUCUUCGGAUUGUAAAGCACUUUUUGGAGGGAUGAGGAAGGACAGUACCUCCAGAAUAAGCCUCGGCUAACUACGUGCCAGCAGCCGCGGUAACACGUAGGAGGCAAGCGUUAUUCGGAUUUACUGGGCGUAAAGCGCGUGCAGGCGGUUUGGAAAGUUGGAUGUGAAAGCUCCUGGCUCAACUGGGAGAGGUCGUUCAAAACUUCCAGACUUGAGAGUGGUAGAGGGAGGUGGAAUUCCGGGUGUAGUGGUGAAAUGCGUAGAUAUCCGGAGGAACACCAGUGGCGAAAGCGGCCUCCUGGACCACUUCUGACGCUCAGACGCGAAAGCUAGGGUAGCAAACGGGAUUAGAUACCCUGGUAGUCCACGCCCUAAACGAUGAUCACUGGGUGUUCGGGGAGCGAUCUCUGAGUACCGAAGCUAACGCGUGAAGUGAUCCGCCUGGGGAGUACGGUCGCAAGAUUAAAACUCAAAGGAAUUGACGGGGACCCGCACAAGCGGUGGAUGAUGUGGAUUAAUUCGAUGCAACGCGAACAACCUUACCUACCCUUGACAUGUCCGGAAGCCCGGUGAGAGCUGGGGGUGCCCGAAAGGGAACCGGAACACAGGUGGUGCAUGGUUGUCGUCAGCUCGUGUCGUGAGAUGUUGGGUUAAGUCCCGCAACGAGCGCAACCCUUAUCCUUAGUUGCCAGCAUAUAAGGUGGGCACUCUAAGGAGACUGCCGGUGAUAAACCGGAGGAAGGUGGGGAUGACGUCAAAUCAUCAUGCCCCUUAUGUCUUGGGCUACACACGUGCUACAAUGGUCGGUACAACGGGGAGCGAAGGAGUGAUCCGGAGCAAAUCCCAAUAAACCGAUCCCAGUUCGGAUUGCAGGCUGCAACUCGCCUGCAUGAAGUCGGAGUUGCUAGUAAUCGCGAAUCAGCACGUCGCGGUGAAUGCGUUCCCGGGUCU
RNAcentral lists this ribosomal RNA (1334 nucleotides) under uncultured bacterium. Its description in RNAcentral is "bacterial SSU rRNA". It matches the Rfam family "Bacterial small subunit ribosomal RNA", at positions 27 to 1381 of the family's 1533-position model. The record is from RNAcentral.